RNAcentral lists this ribosomal RNA (2516 nucleotides) under Puniceicoccales bacterium. Its description in RNAcentral is "partial 23S ribosomal RNA". It matches the Rfam family "Bacterial large subunit ribosomal RNA", at positions 1 to 2531 of the family's 2925-position model. Lineage: Bacteria; Pseudomonadati; Verrucomicrobiota; Opitutia; Puniceicoccales. The record is from RNAcentral.
GGUUAAGUUUUGAAGAGCAAUAAAUGAAUGCCUUGGCGAUAGGAGGCGAUGAAGGACGUGGCUAGCUGCGAUAUGCUUCGGGGAGUGGAGAGCACACUUUGAUCCGGAGAUUUCCGAAUGGGGCAACCCACCCGAGCAAUCGGGUAUCACUCGUUGAAUAAAUAGACGUGUGAAGCGAACCUGCUGAAUUGAAACAUCUUAGUAAGCAGAGGAAAAGAAAACGAAUGCGAUUCCCUCAGUAGUGGCGAACGAAAGGGGAGAAGCCCAAACUUCGGAUUUUAAUCCGGAGGGUUGUAGGACCUCGACAUGGAAUUGAAUGGGAUAGGAGAAACCGCUGGAAAGCGGUGCCAUAGAGGGUGAAAGCCCCGUAUGCGAAAUCCCAAAAAAUCCUAGAGUGUUCCUGAGUAGCAUGGGAUAAGUGAAACCCUGUGUGAAUCUGUGCAGACCACUGCAUAAGGCUAAAUACUACCUAGCGACCGAUAGUGGACGAGUACCGUGAGGGAAAGGUGAAAAGAACCCCUAUUAGGGGAGUGAAAUAGACCCUGAAAUUUAUUGCUUACAAACGGUCGGAGCCCGUUCCGCGAGGGGUGGGUGACGGCGUACCUUUUGCAUAAUGGGUCUGGGAGUUUUUGUGCGCAGCUUGCCUAAGGUUAUAAAACCGGAGGCGCAGCGAAAGCGAGUCUGAAUAGGGCGUAUGUUGCGUGUAUUGAACCCGAAACGGAGGUGAUCUAUCCAUGGUCAGGUUGAAGCUUGAGUAAGAUCAAGUGGAGGACCGAACUCAUUAACCUUGAGAAGUUAUGGGAUGAACUGUGGAUGGGGGUGAAAGGCCAAUCAAACCCCGUAAUAGCUGGUUCUCUUCGAGAUAUAUUUAGGUAUAGCCUCGUACGUUUGUCAUUGGGGGUAAAGCACUGAAAAGACUAGGGCUCGCAUUAGGGUACCAAACCUUAUCAAACUCUGAAUACCAAUGAUUUAAGUACGGGAGUCAGUCUGCGGGGGAUAAGCUCCGUGGACGCGAGGGAAAGAGCCCAGACCGUCAAUUAAGGCCCCAAAAUUACUGCUAAGUGGUAUUAAGGAGGUGGAUCUACACAGACAGUGGGGAUGUUGGCUUAGAAGCAGCCAUCAUUUAAACAGUGCGUAAUAGCUGACCUAUCGAGUGGAUCUGCGCCGAAGAUGAUCGGGACUAAAGCAGUAUGCCGAAAUUGCGGACUUCACGUAAGUGGAGUGGUAGAAGAGCGUUCCAACUGGGUUGAAGUCAAAGGGGCAACCGAUGGUGGACUUGUUGGAAGUGAGAAUCCAGACAUAAGUAACGAUAAGUACGAUGGAAAUUCGUACCGCCGUAAGGAUAAGGUUUCCUGGGGAAGGGUCGUCCUCCCAGGGUUAGUCGAGGGCUAAGGCGAGGCCGUAAGGAGUAGCCGAUGCACAAUGGGUUGAUAUUCCCAUACCGGUUUUUGUGUGUUAUCUUUGUGGGAGUGACGGAGGAGGUUAAUCCAGCGCAGUGGUGAAUAUCUGCGUCUAAGUCUGUAGGCUGUCGCGUUGGCAAAUCCGCGCGGCGUUAGGCUGAAGGAUGGGAUACCCCUGAGGUUCGCCAAUGGGGGAAGUGGGUGAUACCAUACUUCCAAGAAAAACUUCAACAAGGGCACAGAAAUCGCUCGUACCGCAAACCGACACAGGUAUCCGAGAUGAGUAUUCUAAGGCGCGUGAGUUAAGUCUCUCCAAGGAACUCGGCAAAAUUGCCUCGUAUCUUCGGUAGAAGAGGCGCUACGAAAGUAGUUUCAAUAAAGAGGCCCUACCGACUGUUUAGCAAAAACACAGCUCUCUGCUAAGUCGCAAGACGAUGUAUAGGGAGUGACACGUGACCAAUGCGGAAAGGUGAAAUCUGGAAGUGCAAGCUUUUGGCCUAAGCCCCCGUGAAUGUCGGCCGUAACUAUAACGGUCCUAAGGUAGCGAAAUUCCUUGUCAGGUAAGUUCUGACCUGCACGAAUCGUGUAACGAGUUGGGCGCUGUCUCGGAGAGAUGCUCAGUGAAAUUGUAGUCGCGGUGAAAAUGCCGCGUACCUGCAGCAGGACGGAAAGACCCUAUGGACCUUUACUGUAACCUGGUAUUGGUGUUUGAUUUUUAAUACGUAGUAUAGGUGGGAAACGAUGAGCCCCUGCUUCAGGGUGGGGAGGAGUUAUCAGUGAAAUACCACUUUUUAAUGAUUAGACAUCUAACUUUGUGCCGUUAUCCGGCCGAAGGACCGUGCUAGGGGGUCAGUUUGACUGGGGCGGUCUCCUCCCAAAGAGUAACGGAGGAUUGCGAAGGUUCUCUCAAGUCGGAUGGUAAUCGACUGUAGAGCGUAUAGGUAUAAGAGAGCUUUACUGUGAGACUAACAAGUCGAGCAGUUACGAAAGUAGGUCUAAGUGAUCCGGUGGUUUAAUGUGGAAUUGCCAUCGCUUAAAGGAUAAAAGGUACCCUAGGGAUAACAGGCUGAUAGCGCCCAAGCGUUCAUAGCGACGGCGCUGUUUGGCACCUCGAUG